Molecule: long non-coding RNA, 17758 nt
Filed under: Brassica rapa (field mustard)
Lineage: Eukaryota; Viridiplantae; Streptophyta; Magnoliopsida; Brassicales; Brassicaceae
Description: long non-coding RNA (BRAP_LNC006861)
Source: RNAcentral
AAACAUUUCCGCCAGCUUGGAUCAGCUUAUAACACGUUCGGGAUUUAAAUACGGUCCAUUCGGGCCCAUCUACGAUGUGUUAAGCAUAUCCGGAAGCUUCUGGAGGAUGCAGUUGCUUGUCUACUUCCUUAGGAAGCUAGACAUGUGUUACUCCUUUACUGGAGAAUCCUCCAAGCAGCUCUUUCUUAUGUCCUAUUGGUUGAAUUGGUGGAUGGCCACAAAACUUGUUUUAAUUGGACAGAUUUGUGGCUGCACACCAAUCUCUCUCCAAUUGGUUGCAUGGGGCACCCAGGACAGCUACUGCUUGUAACCCACGACAUAUACCUUCUCCUGAGCUCAUUCUCCAGCCUAUAAAUAGCAGACCACCCCCAUAGUCAUUUCUCAUGCUUAGAACCCUAACCAUAGCAGCUCGAAAAAGUCUAAACCCUAAGGUAAAAUGUUUUUGUCUUUAGCUUUUUUUUUUUUUUUUAGAUUUUGUUUUUCUUUUUUUUUUUCUUAGUUAGAAAUUGGAUAGCCUUUCUUACCCUACCCUUCCUGUAUUUAGAUUUCUAAAGCUCUAGAGUUUUCUGAUAAAAGUAUAAAGUGAAGCCGACCGCGAGAUAGAAGCGUUUCAGUCCAAAACUUUCAUCUAAGUGUUGAGGUGAGUCUCGGUUAUGGGUUAUGAUUGUUGUGUGUGCGACUAGCGCCUGCAAAACAAGAGUAUUACUUGAUGCAUUGCUAGGUUGUGCGUUUAGAUAUAUAAUGAUAUGAUAAUGAUUGAUGUUUGUGAAAGAUAUUGAGUUAUAUCGUCGGGCCUCGGCUCGAGAGGUAUAACAUGAUUGUGAUACAUUGAUGUUGUGUUGCAUAUACUUAUGUCAUUGCAUUAUAUUGUUUGGGCCUCGGCUCAGAUAAUUUAACAUGUUUGAUCAUAUCUUAACGGGGAAACCUGUAAAUCUACGGACUUGAUCCGUGACAGUCCGACAGUCGGGUGGAGUGUCGUGAGAGUCAUCGGUGUCCACUCUAGGCCCGUGCCUUAUCCGAGGCCUUACCAAAAUUAGUUCCGGGCAGGACGGGAAGACACGUGUGAUAGGGUUAGCUACCCUCGACCGUGUAGCUGCAUGACGAUGCGGCAAGUGUGUUAUCCGGGCCAUCGGCUUUUUAGACUUUUUGUUUAGAGUCAAUGGGCGCAAGAAGGGAUGUGUUAUGGACUUCGUAUCGAGAUAGGAACCAAUGGCGAGAGGCAGUCCUCGAUGAUCGAUAAUGAUCUAACCACUCGUGAAGAGUGGAUGCUUGUUUACAUGAUUGCUUUAUUUUUGCAUUGCAUAUUUCUUAAUAUAAUUGAUCCUUGUUGCUUAAUGUUUGAUGCAUAAUGGGGGGAUAAAUAAUUGUUAGGAAACCCGACUCACUGAGAAAAAUAGUUGCUCAUUAGACUCUUUGUUUUGCAGGUAACCCGUAGUAGUAGGUUCCAUUUGGGAUCGAAGGAGCACAAAGCUGUUGGUGUAGAUUUGCUACCUUUUGCAAACAUGUACGUUUUGUAAUAUGUAAGAUAUCGUUUUGAACAUCGGCCGAGCAUGUAUAAACUUUUGAUGUGGUUGAACUUAAAGUAUAUAUGAAUAAAAAAAGGGGUUUGUGAAAUGCUUGGAUUCCAUAUGAUACUAGUCCUAGUCCGGGACGAACUAACUAACCGUUUCAAACUCGGGUUGCAAAGCUUUAACUUGGAAUCGCUAGGAAACCCGUUCUUGAACAUAUGAUCUUAGGAUUUCGGAUCUGAUCUGGGAACCUCGGAUCAAAUGUUCGGGCACGUGGUAGUAGUAUCUUCGAUCUGGUUAGAGUUCUUUAGUUCGUCGUGCAUGUUCUUGUUUGAUUGGUGCAUGGCAAACUAAUUAACUUUUAUUUAUUCCGGAUCGGGGGUGUUACAACGAAGGUGGUUUCAGAGCAUGGUUCACUUUGCUCACUUGGGAACCUGUUUUCAAUAAUUUAUCGAGUCAAAGGUGUCGCAAAAGGUAGAAUAGGAAACCAACAUGCUCCUUUGUUAGAUAAGUUGGGAUUAGUACUUACCAUGGGUCAUACUGCAGUAUGUUUCCAAGACGUACAAGGAGUGAGGAGCCAAUGAUGACACCACCAAGAUAUGGACAACGUAAUUCUGAAAACCGCAGAGUCUAUUCAAACCUUGAGGUAACAGAUGAUUCUGCGAUAGCACAAGGAAAUAACCAUUGCUAUGAACACGAACAUGAGUCGACCGGGAGAAAUCCGACGGAUUCACAUAUGGGCUAUGAGCAAGAAGAACGAUAUGAGGAUCUGAGGGAGAGGAAUCAAGCACCUGAUAUGUAUGGAUCAAGGCGGAAUUAUGCAACAACACAUAAUCCAAGGCGGAAUGAAUCUGAGUUCAUGCACCGGGAAAGGACGCCCGAGCCACGUUGUAGGCAAGAACAGAGGACAGCUGGGAGUUCUGAUCCUCUUAUAGUAUUAGUACAAGGCUUGCUAGAUAGACUUGAUCAUAGAACCGGUGAAUCAUCAGAGCGAAGACCAUCCUCCCCUCCUGAUUACCUGAAGAUGGUCAAGUUAAUGACAGACGGUUUACGAAUGACCCAGAUGUGUGUUACACCUUGUGGUGGUACAGGACAUUUUUCUAGCAGUUGUCCUUAUAGUCAGAGAACCACUGGCCGACUACAAUCGCCCAGAUGAGUAUUAUUCCAACAGAUCAGCUAUUCGACUUCCGAAGAUCCAGAAGAAUAAUUUCGAGCUGGAGCCUCAAUACGACACUCUCGUGUCGCAGAUACCCUACUCUGGGUUAGCGCACGAGCAUCCUAUGGACCAUCUAGAACGGUUCGAGGAUUUAAUCGCUGCUAUCCGGUUGGAAGGAGUCCCCAAAGAUUUCCUGCUGUGUAAGUUCUUCUCGUGUGGUGAGAAAGGGCAUUAUGCGAACAGUUGUCCCCAUAAGAGACAAGUUACGCUUCCAGCACCACCCACUAGACUAGCGAUUGAACCAGCCCCGAAGCGCCAGGCAGUUGGAAAGCAAGUGAGUGCUUUAGAGUUAGGAAAACCCGAACCACAACAGCCCCAUCAGGGACCGAUCACAGGUAAGUAGGGUUUUAACUCAUUGCUUGUUUGUGUGAAUUUAAUGCAUGAAAUAUAAAAUGUGAAAUAAAUAUUGUUUAGGAACAUUGUGUGUUGGUGGAGUUUAUGAGCAUGUUCUCUUCGACUCGGGUGCCACACAUAGCUUUGUGAUACCUGAGGUAGUGUCGAGUUUUAAGGGAACCUUUACUAGAGUAAGGGUAGGUGUUUCAGUUAGAAACCCUGGGAACCAUAACCGUCGUGCCGAUAGUUGUGUACUUGGGAUUCCAAUCUAUGUGGGAUCAACGGUAUAUCCGGCAGACCUGCUAGUUUUUCCUUUAGGACAAAACGAAGUGAUUUUGGGCAUGGACUGUCUGUCGAGAUACUACGCACAGUUGGAUUGUGGUCGAGGAAGAAUUACACUUUAAGAAAGAGGACAACCAUCAAUGACAUUGAUAUACCUUGGAUUUGACCCGUUUUCAUCCAUGGUAUAUAGGUGUUUUACUAUACAUAUAUCUAUGUUUUCUACUCUUCUAGGUAUGUUUUCAGGUUCAGGUGCAUUUCGGAGUAAAGCUAUGACUUUGGAGCAUUUUGGAGCUUAAAGACAUUUCAUCCGAGCUGACCAUGUACAGGUCGACGAGAGGAAGAACAAUAGAUCGAUGCACAUCCGGUGCUGUCGAUCGACACCAUGAGAUGCCUCGACAAAUGAAGAUUAAUAUCGAUCUAUGUACACAAGUACCAUCGAUCGAUGUCGAGACAUUGGACAUGCGACUUUUGGAUCCAGCGAACUUGAAGCCCAAGUCCAAGCUAAAUUACGGAAAUGCUCUGACGAGUUUUUAACUUAGUAGAUUAUAUACUGCCUAAGUGUUUUGACGGCAGAGGAGAGCUUUUUGUUACAGUUUUACUUUGAGAGAGAGAGAGAGAGUUUUGGAGAGAAUAUCACUUGUGAUUGGAACUCUUUGUUUUCAUUUCUUUUCAUCUAUACUAUGAAUUUCCAUUUCUUCAUUGUCAUGAAUUGUUUUGCUAUGUCUGAGUAGUUCAAUUAUUAGAUCCAGGGUUCAGAUAGGUUUGUGGGAUUAGCCCCAAACUAUAGAUCUGCCUUGUUGUGAUAUUCAUGAUAGAUUUGUAUUCAUUGCUUGUUUUAGCUUUGCUAACUAGAACAUGAUCAUAGGAUUGCAUACUCAAGCACCCUUGUUAUCCCGUCAUGACAUAUAUCUAUCAUAUUAGGACUGGUAGAGAAGGCUAACCGCCAAUUUAGUAUCUUAAUAGGGCAUGUCAUACUCGCGCAUAGGCCUGGCUAGAACCCGUCAAUCGAUGUCCUCAACUGAUUAUCGGUCGACGUAGGUAAAGGUGUAUCGGUCGACGUCCCUAUAGGACCAUCGAUCAACACUCUUUCGUUGUCAACAUACUAACCGUUGAGACACGACAUCUAGUUUGUUAACCAGUGAAACAUGCGACAGCUGAUCACUGAGUUAAGCGGUUGAGCUCUAACAUAUCAUGCAUGCAACAAAUAGGCAUCUAUAGAUAUUAUAAUCUCCAACACCUGAAUAGUGGCCCUGCGUCUAAUAUCAUUUCCAACCAAGUUACAUUUACUAUUUACUUCGCUUGUUACUAUUGCUAUUUCAUUUAAACAUUUACAACUCUAAGAUUAAUAAACAGUAGAUUUAAUUGUUCCCUAGCUCCUUGUGGAUUCGAUCCCUAAGUACUACAUCUGAACCACUUUUGAUGAGAGUAACAGUCCUUAGGGUAAUUUGAGUGGUACUAAAUUUGGCGCCAUUAUCGGGGAGCUUUGAUCGCCAUUAGAUUUAGUUUUAUUGAUUCUUAUUCUCUUCUCUACCCCCUUUCUAACAUAAUCUUUUUCUUGUCUUUUCAGGUGCAUGCCCAGUCGUACCAGAAGCAACAAGGAGAAAGACUUGAUGUUCUCAUACGAUCCUGCUCACUUGGAACGUACCAUCUGUAGAGGUCAACGUUCCACAUCGCUCGACACAACAACUUCGUCGUCGAUCUAUACUAACAACCAAUCGUUGACCGACACCAGACCUUCAUCGUUGAUCGAUCCUAAUGGUUCGACAACGAUCGAUAUUAUACCGCGUACGUCGAUAGAUACCGUGUCGUCAAAAAAGGUAAACGUUGUUAUUCAAACACAGGACGAGAAAGGAAACCUGUAUGACCAGGACAGUCAUAUGCGUAAUGCAACAAGUCAGAAAAUAGACGCUCAGGGGACUGUAAUCCCUGAUGCUGAUGCUACAUGAGCUGCUCAACCUGUAGACGAGGACACUCGAUCGAAACCACUGGCCGACUACAAUCGCCCAGAUGAGUAUUAUUCCAACAGAUCAGCUAUUCGACUUCCGAAGAUCCAGAAGCAUAAUUUCGAGCUGGAGCCUCAAUACGACACUCUCGUGUCGCAGAUACCCUACUCUGGGUUAGCGCACGAGCAUCCUAUGGACCAUCUAGAACGGUUCGAGGAUUUAAUCGCUGCUAUCCGGUUGGAAGGAGUCCCCAAAGAUUUCCUGCUGUGCAAGUUCUUCAGAUACACGCUGAAUGGAGAAGCGAUGCACUGGCUUAGGCAGCUACCCACAGGAUCCUUAACAUUCUGGGCCGACAUCAAGAAUGCUUUCUUUCAAAAUUUCUUCGAUGAGGCGCGCGCUGGAGAACUUCAAAACAAAAUUUUCACAUUCUCGCAGGAGGCUGGAGAGUCCUUCAAAGAUGUGUGGAUUAGAUUUAUGUUCUUCCAGCGAGACUGUCCACACCACGGAUUUAACGAAGUGCAUCUGCUAAGCACUUUCUUCUGAGGUCUCGCCUUACAGUAUCAAAUGGCUCUUGAUACGGCGAGUGAAGGAAACUUCACUACUCAGAAUCCGUUAGAAGCUGUGAGAAUUAUCGAAAACCUUGCUAACAGCAGCAGCACCAAAAACACUGACUCUGAACGGAAGAAGUCUGUAGCCUCUAUCGGGAAGGAACAGAUGGACGAAGUAAGAGCUAAGUUAGAUGUGGUGCACGAGCUUCUUAGGAAGCAAGUCUGUUUAGCUGAAGGAGAAGUAGCAGAAACGGAAGGAGAAGAAAAUGUGAACUACAUCGGAGGUACCGGAUUCCAGAAAUUUGGAAACCAUGGCGGAAACAAAAACUUCUUUGGAAAUGGUCAAAGAAGUAACCAGAGUUCACAAUUUCAAAAACCCUUCAACAACAGCAAAAGCUACUCGAACUUCUACUACCAGAAUCACCACCCCAUACUCAGGAAAGCAAGAUCGAAGAAAUGCUUGAUCGAGUACUGUUGGGACAACAACAAAUCACCGUGGAUUUCAACGGUAAAAUAGACUUCGCCUACAACAAUCUGAACACCAAAAUCGAGACCUUAGGGACUCAGGUGAGAAAACUUGAGACGCAAGUGAUUCAGACUGGCGAAACUAUAAAGAGACAAGAAGCUUUCGCUAGAGAGGCAGGAGCUGACAAAGGAAAAUACUACGUAAAUGCCAUCAUAGAUGAUGAUUUCUGGCAAGUGGUGAGACAUGAAAAACUUGAGGAAGGAGACUUCGAAAUCGAAAGCUCCAUGAGUCUCGGCGGAUCCCAAUGAUGUCGACCGAUGUCGAUGAACUCGCAUCGAUCGACAGACCAUGACAAAGAUCGAUGGACGGAUUACUCUAGUCAUCGAUCGAUGUCGUCCGCUAAAUCGACUGAAUGCAAUGCAGUUCGAAUUCUAACUCAUGAGGAAUUCGCAGCCAAGCAUCCUCACCCACCCUCCCCUUUCUAUGAUAAAAUCGAUCGAUUGGUUGACCCAAUCAUCGAUCGACAGAGUGAGUCCGACGUCGAUCGUCACAACACACCUCCCAUCGAUCGACAUGCACCUGUAACAUACUGAGUGCGGUUACCCUCAAUCGAUAAUGACUAUAUCAACACACUCAAACCACCUAAACUAUUAGCUAGCCCACCUGAACCAAAACCCAACCCUUUAAAUAGUUCACCAGAACCAGUUCAAGAAGAUCAGGAAACUGAAGGGAGAAGGUUAAGGAAAAGAAAGGAGAAAAUUCCUAAAAACCUUAAGAGGGAAGCUAACGAUAAGGAGAUGAAUUGUUUCAAUAAAAGAAUCCUCAGAAUCCCAAUCGAAAAACCUUUUGAUGAAGCUUACUUCAAACACCGGUUGUGGAUGUUCUUCAGAGAAACAAAGGUAACUGAGGAGGACAUUAGGAUAAUGUUUCAUCAAGUAAGAGAGAAGAUGAGACACAUGAUCAUAUUGUCGAAGAAGAAUGAUCCUGGGAAGUUUGCAAUACCAUGCGUAGUCAAGGGUGUUGAAUUUCCCCAUUCAAUAUGUGACACAGAAGCAUCAAUUAGUAUCCUCCCUAGGAUCAUGGCAGACCAUCUUGGUUUGACCAUCGAACCUUCAACAGAAUCAUUCACCUUCGUGGAUCUUUCAGAAAAACGAUCAGGAGGUAUCAUAAGAGAUCUGGAGGUAGAGAUUGGUAAUGCCCUUGUCCCGGUAGAUUUUCAUCUCCUGGACAUCAAGCUUAAUUGGAACUCUUCACUUGUGCUUGGAAGAUCUUUCCUAGCUACAGUUGGAGCUGUAUGUAACAUGAACAAAAACAAAUUGUGUCUGACGCUGAUAGACCCCAACAUCCACUACGACCCUAUCCGACCUAAGAGAAAAAUUAUUAAUUCUGUGGAUUACGGGAAAGAACUUGGCUUCAUUGGCGCAUGCCAUUGUGGAGCAGAGUACGAAACAGAGUACGAAACAGAGUACUCGGAAUCGAUCGACACCCACACCUUUCCAUCGAUCGAUUCCAAUGAGUCAACGGUGACUGAUGACCGCAACAACACGUUGCUCGACGUUGAUCAGCCGAUUGACCAUUUCGCUCUACCUAAUCAUUGUUACCCACACUUUUCCUUCUAACCUCCAAGCAAGAGAGGACGUGAUGAUUAUUCCAUAGGCAGUUGGGCAGACAGUGGUUUCCAUGAAAGUUUUGCAGUUGACACUGUAAUUACUUCACCUAACGAGGAACAUACAUAGGAAUACUAUGAGGAUUAUUGGAAGGAACAUGCAAUAGAAAUGUCUUUGCAGGAUGAAAGAUUUGAAACACAUAAGUUCACCAACACGUUUCCAACAUCGUUCGACGAAGUGCACUCCACAUCGGUCGAUACCCACCCUCGUCCAGCAAAACAACCGCUCACAUCGAUCGACACCCAUACAGGAACAUCGAUCCAUAUUCGCGCCGCAGCGAAAAUCCAGGAGCCGGAGAAUAUUCCCUCUCCAACUAGGUUUAUAGAUACCUAUUUAAAACGUUUUGCACCCCUGAAACCACCUCCACACAUCAGAGCAGACACACAAGCAGAAAAGAUGAACACUCUUCCGUCUACAUCAACAGGAAAAUCCAUGAAAAGCAAUCAUCUCAAGAACACAAGUUCUGCAGAAAUUAUUCUGCCAUCGAUCGAUGCAUCUGUAUCAACAUCGAUCAAUCCUACGCUUAAACCAAAUCUUUCUAUUUCUAAAUUGAAUGAUAAUGCAAACAUUGAUUACGGUUUUCUAACACCUGAUGAAUUUGGUAUUUUCAAGGACCCAGAUGGCAACGCAUGUGCAAUAGAUGGAAGGAUCAUACAAGUGUCCAAAGAGGACAUAGCAUAUAUCCUUCAAGUGGCCAAUGGACCUGACAACCUAUUCUCACAGCAACGUGGCACUCCAGACGUCAUUCAAAGCGAUCCAAAAAAACACGUAGGAGUCGCCGCAACAGAAAUCAAUCCAGAUCUAUCAUGCCAACCAAAAGGCCAAGCAUCAAUCGACGGGACAAGUCAGACAUCGAUCGACAGGAUAACACCAACGUCGACCGGUAAGGAUGACCCGACGUCGAUCGAUAGACGUUAUGAAUUUGGAUACCGCGCUUUUGACAUGUACGGAGCCAGAAAGUUCACUUGGGAACGAAGGGACGAGUAUGGAGUCUACAGAGAUGAGUGUGGACACGCACAAGGCGUAGCUGGUGAGAUGAUACCUGUCACAAAGGACGACAUCAGGAAAUUACUGGAAAGAGCAUCUCUUUUUGAAGAGAGCCACAUCUGUCUUUCAGAACAAGCCACUUCCUUCACAAUCACAAGACCGGCACAAGAACUCUACACCAAAGAUGAAAUCAACGAGAUGGGGACUGGUAUUUGGGGAGCUCAGGAAAAACUGGGAGAGGAGCUCAAAUCAUUGGUAGAAGAUACACAUCAACCUUUGGAUAGAGGCUACAAUGAGCUUUUCAGAAGUAUGGUAGAAAUGAGGACAUAAAUUGAGAGUUUACGACAUCAACUUGAGAAGGAAGCCACGACCUCAGCAUCGAUCGACGCACCACAUGGUCCAUCGAUCAACGUCAGUCUUCCGACAGCCCAGAUCCCUGCAGAACCGUAAUGUUCACCAGAACACAAGGAUGAAUGGGAAGUCUCAUACAUCAACACGAGGAUAAACGACGUGUACUACCCUCUCAACAACAACGUGGACUGGCUGAGCACUAAAAUCGAGCUACUACAGCAAGAUCUGGACACCAUUCGCAAGAAGGACCAACAACCAGCCACAUCGGUCGAUGUGUGUACCAUCACAUCGCUCGACGCUAAGAUCUCAGCCAUGGAUGACAGGCUGCAGACUUACGAGGACAAGCAUGACCGCUUCGUAUCACCAGUCAUGCUAUAUUAAAUAAAUUGUCUAGUCAAAUACUUCAUGCCCAAAGGGAUAUUGAUAAAAUUACUAAUCAAAAUUUUUUGCAGGCAAACUCAUUUUCGAUCGACAGGCUACGAGGGCCAUGGAUUGAUGGCAAGAAUCCUGUGGAGUUACUUCCCUACACAGCAGCAGAGGUUGACAAGAUCACAUCCAAGAUCUACACUGCUAUAGACACUAUGGAGGAACGACUUGACAAACCCUGCGAUGACAUCUACUUUCCAUUCGACAACAGAAUCAGUGGACUCAGCCACGCAGAAUGGCUACAGAAAGAAGUCAAAGCCAUUCAGAGGCAACUCGCAGCUCAACAGCAGAUAUUAGCAUCGAUCGACAGGAAGCGAGCGAAAUCGCUCGAUGGUAAGUCACCGAGAUCGACCGACGAACACUUAAUCGCAUCGAUCGACGCCGAGUCUACACCAGCCGACGAGCAGCUGAUACACAAAAGAAUAGAGUCAAUGCAUGAGAAACUGACAUAACUUUCAGCAUACGCCUAUGACAACAUAAGCUGGCACCAGGUCAGCAUUGACAACGUUCAAGAUAGGCUAUAGAACAUCUCCAAUGUACUUAAGAAGAUGGAUGACAAAUGGACAAGAAAUGAUGAGGCCACAAGAAGUUUCAUUGCAUCUUGGUCCAGAAUGUGCAGAGAUGACGUGGAUGCUUGUCUUCCAACAAGCAGCUGUUUAUCCACCAAAUAGCCAAUCACUACCACAAUCAAGCUAAAUGACUAUAACCAAGCGCUGAGUGGGAGGCAACCCACUAUUAGGUAUUUUAUUUUGGUUUUAUUAGCUAGCAUUUAUUUACUUUCGUUUUAUUUCUUUCAGAUUUAGGAGACCCAAGUAAGAGGACCUGAAUAUUGACCGCCGACGAGACGUCGACAUCGCUCGACAUAGACAAACACACGAUGAUCAAUGCAACAUUUUCACAUCGAUCGAUAUCUAAUCCAGUCAGAUGUAUCUUCCUUACUUGUUACAUUUCAUACUUAUGAAUUAUUCCAUCAUAACUCCGACUGAGUUACACUGGGACAGUGUAAUUUAAGUCUGAGAGGAGAUUUACUGGUAUAAUUUAUUUUAUUCUUAUAUAAAGGAAUUUUAAUAAAUUAUGCUUAGCUAUUGGAAAUGAGACUAUAAUCUUAUAUUGAUUUAAACUUGAAUAUCUAACCAAUCUUUAGCACCAUUUUAGAUUUACUGAUUGUAGAUAGCACUAUAGAUGCUAAAGCAGAUCAACCUAUCAACUACACACUUGCCUUGACCGUAUGAAGUAACCAAAGCUGAUUUCCAACACUAAACCUGACAUAAUCGCUUGUCUUGGGGCUUGGUAUACAUGGGAUCGGAUUCUUCAGACAGGUCUGGAAGGUAACGCCUUGUGUAGAUUAUUUAUCACAUUUUCUCUCUCUAAAUUUUGACCCUAGAAUAGUUAGUGAUUUAUAUUUCAGUUCUAUCUAUUUAUAAAUUAAAAAAAAUAAAAAAAUUAAAAAAAAUAAAAAAAUAAGAUCUAAUGUUUACUUAGGAUGAGUCUGAACAGGACUUAGUGGCUAAAACCGUUAAGGCUUGAUUCAUAAAGACUCCAAUAAAAGAGUUCGAAACGGGACUUUGAGGCGGCAAUCUUCAAGGCUCGCUUUCACAAAGAAUUCUUCGAUAUCGGUCAAAAAGAAGUGAACAGAGCUUCGUGGCUACUAUCAUUAAGUUUUGAUUCAUGGAAGCCUGUCCAAUCUUGGUCACUGAUACUGCAAUGGAAGCAGACUUUGACACAAGAGAGAAAAUUAGAGAGAGAGAAAUUAGGAACUAACUUUUACAUGUAGUUCCAGAUACUUGUCUGAAAUCCUUGCAUCCUAUGAUCAAAACUCCCAAGGUAAAGCAUUCACUUUUUAUUUAUGCUAAGAAAUGAAGUCAGUAGAGGGGAUGUCAGACGUGAAUUACUGAGUUGUGUUAUGUUAGAAAUAGUUGCUAAGCUAGGAUAUUGCAUAGUGUGCUUCUAUGAUUAGGACUUUUUAGAUGUGGUUGUAAAAUUGUUGAGGAAAAGAUUUAUAUGCUUUAAAAUCUGUGAGUCCCUAAUAUUUUCAAGCCUCUUUCAGAGAGACUGCAUGUAUGUUUUGCUUGAGGACAAGCAAAAGGGUAAGUCUGGGGGAGUUGAUAUACCUUGGAUUUGACCCGUUUUCAUCCAUGGUAUAUAGGUGUUUUACUAUAUAUAUAUAUAUAUCUAUGUUUUCUACUCUUCUAGGUAUGUUUUCAGGUUCAGGUGCAUUUCGGAGUAAAGCUAUGACUUUAGAGCAUUUCGGAGCUUAAAGGACAUUUCAUCCGAGCUGACCAUGUACAGGUCGACGAGAGGAAGAACAAUCGAUCGAUGCACAUCCAGUGCUGUCGAUCGACACCAUGAGAUGCCUCGACAAAUGAAGAUUAAUAUCGAUCGAUGUACACAAGUACCAUCGAUCGAUGUCGAGACAUUGGACAUGCGACAUUUUGGAUCCAGCGGACUUGAAGCCCAAGUCCAAGCUAAAUUACAAAAAUACCCUGACGAGUUUUUAACCUAGUAGAUUAUAUACUGCCUAAGUGUUUUGACGGCAGAGGAGAGCUUUUUGUUACAGUUUUACUUUGAGAGAGAGAGAGAGAGAGUUUUGGAGAGAAGAUCACUUGUGAUUGGAACUCCUUGUUUUCAUUUUUUUUCAUCUAUACUAUAAAUUUCCAUUUCUUCAUUGUCAUGAAUUGCUUUGCUAUGUCUGAGUAGUUCAAUUAUUAGAUCCAGGGUUCAGAUAGGUUUGUGGGAUUAUCCCCAAACUAUAGAUCUGCCUUGUUGUGAUAUUCAUUAUAGAUUUGUAUUCGUUGCUUGUUUUAGCUUUGCUAACUAGAACAUGAUCAUAGAAUUGCAUACUCAAGCACCCUUGUUAUCCCAUCCUUACAUCUAUCUAUCAUAUUAGGACUGCUAGAGAGGGCUACCCGCCAAUUUAGUAUCUUAAUAUGGCAUGUCAUACUCGCGCAUAGGCCUGGCUAGAACCCGUCGAUCGAUGUUCUCAACUGACUAUCGGUCGACGUAGGUAAAGGUGUAUCGGUCGACGUCCCUAUAGGACCAUCGAUCGACACUCUUUCGUUGUCAACAUACUAACCGUUGAGACACGAGAUCUAGUUUGUUAACCAGUGAAACAUGCGACAGCUGAUCACUGAUUUAAGCGGUUGAGCUCUAACAUAUCAUGCAUGCAACAAAUGAGCAUCUAUAGAUAUUAUAAUCUCCAACUCCUGAAUAGUGGCCCUGCGUCUAAUAUCAUUUCCAACCAAGUUACAUUUACUAUUUACUUCGCUUGUUACCAUUGCUAUUUCAUUUAAACUUUUACAACUCUUAGAAUUAAUAAACACUAGAUUUAAUUAUUUCCUAGCUCCUUGUGUAUUCGAUCCCUAAGUACAAUAUUUGAACCUCUUUUGAUGAGAGUAACACUCCUUAGGAUAAUUUGAGUGGUAUCAGACAUACUAUGGAAUAUGUCCAAGUGCUGGAGUGUCACUUGUAUCUGCCUUAAGAGUUGAGAAAGAUUUGAUCGAGGGCGAGGUAUAUCUUGUAACUCUAACUACCCUUGGAGGAGAAUUGAAUGAAGGGACAAAGUUGGAAGAGAUAGCAGUAGUAAGGGAAUACCAGGAUGUAUUCCAGCCAUUGGAAGGAUUGCCCCCACCACGAAGUGAUCCUUUCACCAUUACAUUUGAGCCGGGAGCAGCCCCAAUAGCUAAGGCACUUUAUCGAAUGGCUCCAGCUGAGCUUGCUGAAUUAAAGAAGCAGUUGGAAAAUUUGAUAGAAAAAGGAUUUAUCAAACCGAGUUCUUCACCAUGGGGAGCACCUGUCUUAUUUGUAAAGAAGAAAGACGGUACCAUGCGGUUAUGCAUCGAUUAUAGAGGGAACAAUGUUACAGUAAAGGACAAGUAUCCCUUGCCAAGGAUCGAUGAAUUGUUGGAUCAGCUUCAUGGGGCAAGCUGGUUCUCAAAGAUAGAUUUGGCAUCGGGAUAUCAUCAAAUCCCAAUAUCAGAGUCCGAUAUCAUGAAGACGGCUUUUAGGACCCGGUAUGGGCACUAUGAAUUUGUGCUAAUACCUUUUGGUCUUACUAAUGUGCCGGCUGCUUUCAUGCGCUUGAUGAAUGAUAUAUUUCAUGAUUACUUGGAUAAAUUUGUAAUUAUCUUUAUUGAUGAUAUACUUAUUUAUUCCAAGAGUAAAGAUCAUGCAGAGCACCUCCAAAAGGUAGUUAGAGCGAUUAAGAAGCCAUAAGUUGUUCGCCAAGUUUAGUAAAUGUAGUUUCUGGAAAAGGGAGAUUGGAUUCCUUGGUCAUCUAGUGUCAGAGAAGGGAGUUGCAGUAGAUCCUGAAAAGGUUUAAGUAGUUAAGGACUGGCCACGCCCUACCAGCGCUACCGAGGUUCGAAGCUUUCUUGGAUUGGCUGGGUAUUAUCGAAAGUUUGUGAGGAACUUUUCCAUCAUGGCCAAACCCUUGACGAGGCUGACUGGGAAAGAUAUAUCAUUUGAAUGGGAUAAGAAAGAGGAAAAGGCUUUUACACAAUUAAAGGAAGAUUUGACGACAGCACCUAUUCUUGCAUUACCUACUCCAGGAAGACCUUACACAGUAUACACUGAUGCUUCUCGAGUAGGACUGGGUUGUGUACUGAUGCAGGAUGAAAAGGUCAUCACCUAUGGUUCAAGACAGUUAAGGAAGCACGAGGAGAAUUACCCCACCCGCGAUCUAGAGAUGGCCGCAGUGGUAUUUGCUUUAAAAAUAUGGAGAUCCUAUCUUUAUGGCGAGACGAUUCAAAUCUUUACUGAUCACAAAAGUCUCAAGUAUCUCUUUACUCAGUCAGAUUUGAAUUUGAGACAAAGGAGGUGCAUGGAGUUUAUCACGGAUUAUGACUUACAAAUCCAAUAUCACCCAGGAAAGGCGAAUGUGGUAGCAGAUGCACUGAGUCGGAGGAGAAGUGAUACAACUAUUGAGAAAGACUUAGAAGCCUUAAACGCAGAAUUCAAGAUGAUUAGUCUUUCAGCCAUAGAAGGCAAGGGCAGCGAGCCAUUGGGAUUGCGAGCAGUGAAUCAAGCAAACUUCCUGCAAAGAAUUGAGAAGAGCAGAAGGAAGAUGUGAAGCUAAAGAAGAUUAUAAAAGAACUUGAAGAAUCAGGCGGAAGAAAUGAUAGUGGUUAUCAUUUGGCUGAUGACAGAACACUCCUACUGAACGGAAGGAUAACCGUACCUGUAGGAAAGGAGUUACGAGAAGAGAUUUUGAGAAUCGCACACCACUCAAUACUAAGUAUUCAUCCUGGAAGCACCAAGAUGUACCAGGAUAUACGUCGAUACUAUCACUGGCCAGGAAUCAAACGAUCAGUUGCUAAGUGGGUAGCUCAGUGCCAGACCUGCCAACAAAUUAAGGCUGACCAUCAAGUGCCGGGAGGAUUAUUGCAAAGCCUACCAAUCCCAGAAUGGAAGUGGGAGUCAGUGGCUAUGGAUUUUGUAACGGGACUACCUCUAGCACCAGGAAGAGGGAAUGAUACUAUAUGGGUGGUGGUAGACCGACUAACUAAGACUGCUCCUUUUCUACCCAUUAGAGUUGUUGACAAGGUAGAAGUACUGGCAGAAGUUUACUUUAAGGAGAUAGUACGAUUACACGGAGUUCCUGCCAACAUAGUAUCUGAUCAUGAUCCAAGAUUUACGGCUCAAUUCUGGAGAGCUUUCCAGCAAGUAUUGGGGACUGAUCUUCAUAUGAGUACAGCGUUUCAUCCUGAAACUGACGGGCAGACGGAGCGAACAAUCAGAACCUUGGAAGAUUUGCUAAGGAUGUGUGUUUUAGACUGGUCAGGUACAUGGGAACAAUACUUACCUUUGGUAGAGUUCUCUUAUAACAACAGUUACCAUGCAAGUAUUGGAACGUCCCCAUAUGAGGCAUUAUAUGGACGACCUUGCCGCACACCACUGUGUUGGGCUGAAGUUGGAGAAAGACAUAUGUUAGGAUCAGAUGUAGUAGAUGAAACAACAGAAAAGAUAAAGAUUGUCCGGGAGAAUAUGAAGAAAGCUCAAGACAGACAGAAGAAGUAUGCCGAACAGAAUAGACGUGAAGUAAUAUUUCAAGUUGGUGAUUGGGUAUAUUUGAAGGUGGCUGCACAGAAAGGGAGAGAUAGAUUCGGAAAAGUGAGAAAGUUAGCCACUCGAUAUAUAGGACCAUACCGAGUGAUGCAACGGGUUGGAGAAGUAGCCUAUCAAUUAGACUUACCAUCAGAUAUGGCACUUCACCCAGUUUUUCAUGUCUCAAUGUUAAGAAGGCAUAUACGAGAUCCUACCGAAGUAGAGCCGCAACGAGUUGAAAACCUUCGUUCCAACAUCACUUACCCUGAAGGACCACUUUGAAUCGGAGAAAGACGAAUAAGAAAACUGAAGAAUCGAGAGAUUCAUCAAGUGCAAGUAUUUUGGGGAAAACAAUGUCGAGUAAUUGUGACAUGGGAAGAUGAAGAGAGGUUUAGAGCAAAUCAUCCUGAACUGUUUUUGGAAGAUGAUGAAGAUCAGAUGGGUGGAGCAUCAAACCACUAAGAAUUCGGGACGAAUUCUAUUAAGAGGGGGAGAAUGUAAUAACCCUCUUUAAAGAGUAAAACGCAGACAAGAAAAAAUCUUGUAACAGCCGAGAAAAUUACUCAAGUAAGUGGAAGUCGGAUUGAUCUUUUCCUGUGGAUGUUUGUGGAUCCCAAGGUACAUAAGAAAAAUUUUCAAAGUCUUAGAAUAGUUUUCCAUCUUAAAAAAUAAAUUCUUCAGGAAGUUUAGUGGAUUGAAAAUGCUCGCGGUUCGGUCUAGAACGUCCUAGUCGGACGAGAGAAUUAAUCAAAAUUUAUUAUAAGGCCUUAAGAUAGGAAUGACCUUAUUUUAGAAAUAUUUCGGUCUAAGAAAUCUAGGUUUUUGUCAAGGAGAAACAUUUCCGCCAGCUUGGAUCAGCUUAUAACACGUUCGGGAUUUAAAUACGGCCCAUUCGGGCCCAUCUACGAUGUGUUAAGCAUAUCCGGAAUCUUCUGGAGGAUGCAGCUGCUUGUCUACCUCCUUAAGCAGCUAGACAUGUGUUACUCUUUUACUGGAGAAUCCUCCAAGCAGCUCUUGCUUAUGUCCUAUUGGUUGAAUUGGUGGCUGGCAACAAAACUUGUUUUAAUUGGACAGAUUUGUGGCUGCACAUCAAUCUCUCUCCAAUUGGUUGCAUGGGGCACUCAGGACAGCUCCUGCUUGUAACCCACGACCUAUACCUUCUCCUGAGCUAAUUCUCCAGCCUAUAAAUAGCAGACCACCCCCUUAGUCAUUUCUCAUGCUUAGAACCCUAACCAUAGCAGCUCGAAAAAGUCGAAACCCUAAGGUAAAAUGUUUUUGUUUUUAGCUUUCUUUUUAUUUAGAUUUUGUUUUUUUUUUUUUAGUUAGAACUUGGAUAGCCUUCCUUACCCUAUCCUUCCUGUAUUUAGAUUUCUAAAGCUCUAGAGUUUUCCGAUCAAAGUAUAAAGAGAAGCCGACCGCGAGAUAGAAGCGUUUCCAGUCCAAAACUUUCAUCUAAGUAUUGAGGUGAGUCUCGGUUAUGGGUUAUGAUUGUUGUGUGUGCGACUAGCGCCUGCAAAACAAGAGUAUUGGUUGAUGCAUUACUAGGUUGUGCGUUUAGAUAUAUAAUGAUAUGAUAAUGAUUAAUGUUUGUGAAAGAUAUUUAGUUAUAUCGUCGGGCCUCGGCUCGAGAGGUAUAACAUUAUUGUGAUACAUUGAUGUUUUGUUGCAUAUACUUAUGUCAUUGCAUUAUAUUGUUUGGGCCUCGGCUAUGAUAAUAUAACAUGUUUGAUCAUAUCUUAACGGGGAAACCCGUAAAUCCACAGACUUGAUCCGGGAGAGUCCGACACUCGGGUGGAGUGCCGUGAGAGUCAUUGGUGUCCACUCGAGGCCCGUGCCUUGUCCGGGGCCUUACCAAAAUUAGUUCCGGCAGGACGGGAAGACACGUGUGAUAGGGUUAGCUACCCUCGACCGUGUAGCUGCAUGACGAUGCGGCAAGUGUGUUAUCCGGGCCAUCGGCUUUUUAGACUUUAUGUUGAGAGUCAAUGGGCG